UCGGCGAGCUUCAGAGAUCUGGCCAAUCACAGGACUUCCUCUUUCCCCGGAAAGCCAAUCAUCACCCGUGUCUCCGCCUCAGUAACAGCCCGGCUGGAACCAAUGGGAGCAAGAGGCAAGGUCGACUGUUCGCAGGGAAGCACUCUGUCAGGGUGCGCCACACUGCGGCCAACCCUGGUGAGUGCCUGCGCCCCAAGGACCCUCGGAGUUUGUCAGAAUUCUCCACUCCAGAGGCAAGUAAACACUUCACUGUGGCCGAGCAGAGCCCAAGCUGGCUGCCCCCACCCAAGUCCUGCAGGGACCCAUGGAGUAGACGUGGGCAAAUGGGGACCUGGGACACAAGAUACCAGAAGCAGAUCUCUGCUAGGGAAGUGGUGCCCAGGGCGCUACCAGUUACCAGGAAAUGAAGCUUCCCCUUCUGCGAUGAUGACACUUCCCCUCUGCCACUUCCCCUUUCCCACGGGGAACUGACUCAGCUUUCCCUAAACUAGCGAGUUCUGUCCCUCCAGCCCCUGAUCUUCAACCUUUAUUCACAAACCCUUACACAGGCACCUGGGACUAUAGAGCACACACUUAAGGACAAAACUUCCUAUAUACUAGUCACAUUCACUUUGCCAGCCACCUCGGAUCCUGGUUCCCACCCAGGACCCAGAAGCCUAACUCCCACCCACCCCCUCCCCCAUAGCCCUCCCUCAGGGUCUGAUUCAGGCUUGGGGUGGCAGAGCGUGAGUCACCCAGAAAACCUUCUUCCCUAGUUCCCACUGACUCAGCCCCCGCCUCCCCGAACUCACACAGACACACAGUCAGAGACAGACACAACUCCUCAGCCCACACACUGCUCACCACUGGUCCGGUGGAAUUUCCCCUCUAGUCUCUCUCAUGACAACCCCUCCCCCGCGUCGGGCAGCCCCGUCGCCGCAUUCACACCUGUUCCCCGGCGGUCGGGUCGCAGUACACUCUCACCUCCACUUUCGCUUCGGAGUAAGAACAGCCCUCCCCGACUCCCAGUGUCCAUACUAACCAAAGGGAGAGGACAACCACUGACAGGCGCAAAGACAAGACACCCACAGACUUCUUGAAGACAGACAAGAGGUAGACGCGCAUGGCCAGAGCCAGGUUGGGAGGACGACACUUCGGAGACAGACAUUCCAGCCUCUCCCAACCCGGCCCACAAUCCCCAGAGUCAGCGGCUCUGAAGGGGUUAAUUCCACUCCUGCAGAGACCACGCCCUCUCCAUCCGGGCACUCCCGGCAAAGCCCAGCUCCUCCCCCUCCAUCCGGGCUCUGGACUCCGGGACUUUGACCGACCCCCUCCUGGUAGAGCCCCAAGAGAGAACCACUCCAUCAAUCACACCCACUUAACUCUCUCUGGGCUUAAGGUGGAGGAGCCCCUCCGCGCGGCGCCCGAGCCGUACGGACGCAUGGUCAGAGACCUGCCGUGCCCAUGCAGACUCAGUACCGCCAAGGACUAGACCCUGCAAAUGGGGUUUUUACCGAGCAGAUAGCAGACUGCAGGAGCCCAAGGUGGGGUUGGUCCAGGACCCCGCUGCAUCCCGCUCCCGGUCUAUUCUACCUGGUGGAAGCGAGGAGUUAGAGACUCGCUUCCUACCUGGGAGAGGGGGGAGGCGUUGGGGAGGGCCGCCAGCGGAGACUACGCUGUGACUCAGCCACCCGGGCAGACCGCCCGCCCGGGAUUCCCUUCCCCAGCCUUCCCCCGCCGCCGGCCCCUCCCCGCCUCCCAUCAAGGAGUGACACUGCUGGCCCUGGCCCGCUAUGUGUCACUGCGGGCCUUGUGUCUGCUUCUGACUGGGCGCUGUGUUCACCAAUCUGUCUGACAAGGUCGGCAGUGAGUCCCGGUGUCUGUCUCCGCGUGCACCUGCAUAUCUGCUCAUCUUGUCUCCUCAGUGCCUGUGUCUGACGCGUUCCUGUCAUUAUCCCUGUCUACAUGACUCCGCAGGGCUGUCUCUGUCUGUGUGUCUGCCUGGCUCCUGUCUCGGUCUUUUGUCUGGGUCUGCCUCUGCAUCACUCGGGUGAUCACGUGUGUCUCUGCACAUGCCCUUCUGUGCUUGCCUUCAUGUUCCUGAACAGAGUCAGGGAAACACUGGAGCAGGCUUACCCUACUGACUCCACGCCUCACUCCCCUGAAUCCUGACGUCUUGCAGAAUCAGCGAUCCUUCUGUGAGUCAAUUACUUGGGGGUCUGUCUGCUUUCAAUCAAGUUCUGUCCCAUUUCUUAACAUCCUUGCUUAUCCUCACAGCUCCCUGAAGCUCCUAUUAUGACAAUAAUUGCGGCAUUCAUUGACUACUUAUUAGAUGCCAGGCACUGUUAAGCAUUUUACAUACUUUUUUUAAACUCUUCCCCAAAACUUUA
Ictidomys tridecemlineatus (thirteen-lined ground squirrel) is the source of this 2369-nucleotide non-coding RNA. NCBI's taxonomy places the organism in Eukaryota, Metazoa, Chordata, Mammalia, Rodentia, Sciuridae. The record is from RefSeq and is a predicted model, not a curated record.